Molecule: unclassified non-coding RNA, 396 nt
Filed under: Hevea brasiliensis (rubber tree)
Lineage: Eukaryota; Viridiplantae; Streptophyta; Magnoliopsida; Malpighiales; Euphorbiaceae
Source: RNAcentral
AAAAAUUCAUAACAUGUUUACUUAUACAAUAAUUAGAAAAUAUUGAUUUUUACACUUUGAUUGGAGUCCCUUUGAAUUAUUAAAUUAAAUCAAUAAAAUGUAAAAUGAUGUUUUAGUUUUGUUUGAUUUACUAUUGAUAGGAAAUUUCUUUUAUUUUCUUAUUCUUAAAAAAAUAAAGUUAAAAGAAAGAAAAAAAAAGACCAAAAUAAAAUGGAAGGUCAAUUGAUAGUACAAAAAAUGAGGAUUUUGAAUUAUUGCAUGAUGUGAUAAAAAACCAAACAUGUCCUUACUUUUCACAAAGAAAAUUUUUGUAUGAAUCUAAUUUAUUAUGAACUCAUGUGUAGUAAAAUUUGUAUAAAAAAAUAUAUAAAUUUUAUAUAUUUAUAUUUUAAAUUU